AGCCCCUAAGGAAUAAUUUAAGGGGUGAAGGCCUGCCCCAAUGAUAUAAUAUUAAAUGGCCGCGGUACUCUGACCGUGCUAAGGUAGCAUAAUCAAUUGGCUUUUAAAUGGAGUCUGGAAUGAAAGGAAAAUACGGGGUUCAGCUGUCUCUAAGUUUUUAUUGUGAAUUUACUAAUUAGGUGAAAAGGCCUAAAAAAGAAAAAAGACGAGAAGACCCUUAGAGUUUUAAAUUUUGUUGGGGCGACACAGAGUCAGAAAACACUCUGAAUACUAUAAGACGGAAUUAUCAUGUAUAGAUAAACUACCUGAGGGAUAACAGCAUAAUCUUUAUAAGGUUUGUGACCUCGAUGUUGGACUAGGAAGUCUGCUAGCUAGCCGCUAGCAAGAGAAAUUCUGUUCGAAUUAUUACUCCU
Molecule: ribosomal RNA, 413 nt
Filed under: Philine sp. 3 TRO-2014
Lineage: Eukaryota; Metazoa; Mollusca; Gastropoda; Cephalaspidea; Philinidae
Description: partial 16S ribosomal RNA
Rfam family: Archaeal large subunit ribosomal RNA
Source: RNAcentral